Long non-coding RNA from Solea solea (common sole), 2826 nucleotides. RefSeq lists it as uncharacterized. Lineage: Eukaryota; Metazoa; Chordata; Actinopteri; Pleuronectiformes; Soleidae. The record is from RefSeq and is a predicted model, not a curated record. The transcript has 2 exons.
AAGAAAAAAAAACAACUCCAAACAUCCAGCGCCCGACUUCCCCCUGGAGUCCGUGUCCACUACAUUCCUAUGUCCUUCCGGCCUGAAAGACCUACUUUCAGCUCCAGUUGGAUGGCAGCGAACCAGUAAGGACCAGACUAGGAAGUAAAAACGUUAUUAAAGCAUAAUGUGGCACAUGUGGAAUAGAUGAAUUCGUGCGUAAAGAAUUCAUCAAGGAUUUUUUUCCUGCUUCGUCACUAUUACCACCCUGACCCCAUUGGCCAUGUUUGCAACAUGUUUCGGGCAGAAACAGACUUUGUUUUCAACUCAAGAGAUGCUCAGGAUAUUUUUCCAGUCAAAAUGGCCUCCCCUCAGACCGCAGCCUGUGGGAAUUUUAAUUUUCCUUUUCUUUCUCUCUCAGAGGGCCUCCGCCCUGAAGAUUGGGCUGCCAACCAGACAUCGCGUUAAUUGGAGACACUGGUGCAGAGAGAGAGAGCGAGAGAGAAUGAGAAGAAACCUUGAAGACAUUAUCUGCAAACCGCCUUCAUUUUCUUUACGUUCCCUCUUUGCUUGAAUAGCAGUGACACACACACACACACACACAAAAAUAUUCUGAGAAAAUCAUUUCAUUAUCUCUUUUUUCACACGCGCUCAUGUUUUUCAAGUUGAAAACAGUUUUCGUGAGAGUUAACGCACAGGAAUUUGGUCUCAUUAAGACUCAAACAAUGGUGGAAAUGAAGUAAUAUACGUGUAGAGUAUAGCCUCGUCACGUGUUCCUGCUCAUUACAUUAGUGGACAAAGAAAAUAAAAGCACCCUUUAAAACGUUUUGGGGGAUUUCACACACAACUCUCAGCUGAUGCGAUUUGGCUAAAUUUACUGAGAGAUAAUUGUGACCAUUUCAAAUGACGUUUAAGGUUUACGAGCUACCAAUAAAAAAGUACCUACAGUCCAAUAAAAGAGCAUUUAUACUCUACUUUUCAAGCACAAGACUUAACUUUUAUUCCCUCAUAAGAAGUCAGUGAACGGACAUAAAGGACGUUUAAUAAGAAAAAUAAUGAGCUGUGAAGAUUUGAAGUAACACAGUCGAAGCUGUCAAAGACAAGACGAGCUGUUGAUUUGAAAUACCGACAUGUGAAUUCCAGGCAGCAAUUUCCUCCCCUUUUUUUCUUCAUGGAGUCUUUAUUUCCACUUAAGGGCCUGGAUUUAGAAAUCAUAAAUUUAGACGGUGUUUUUAAUUACACUGUACGCGCAUCCACGAGGUUUGUGUGUGUGUGUUUUUGAAAGUGAAAUAUUGUCUGCAAAAAAGCGCAGCGAUGUUCGUGGAACAAAAAUAUCCAUAAGAGUAUAAUUAGUGAGGCAUUGUUUUAGACUUGUUGGAGUGCAGAAUAACGCAGAGUUUCUUCAUGAAAAAUUCACUCAUGUUACUUGAAAAAAAUAAAAUAAAACAGCGCCCUAUGACAACAACAACAACAACAACAACAACAAUUAUCGUGUAAAUCUUGGAUCAAAAAGGGUAAUCUUAAUUUCCCUAUGUACGAGCUGUUUUCCAUUAUUGUUUAUAUAUUAAAGGCAACAUUAUUUCCACGAAAUCAACUCCAGUUAAGCAGUGGCUGCUUAAUAACAUACCACGCAAUGCAAUCUGACAGGGUUUCCAAUAUUUUUAUUUGGGAUAAUACAUUCUACAUAUGGGAUUUAAUUACCAAAUAUUACCGGACAUACCGCGUGUUGACAGAUCGUUUAUUUGUUUGUUGUUGUUUUUUUUACUCAGAUGACUUAAACUGUGUUCGCGCCGCCGCGCAUGGCCUAUAAUUAUGCUUCUCUGCAACUGGUAAAACUGUACAAUAGCGAAUUUUAUCUCACGUUUUCAUCGGACGAAUUAUUUUAUUUUCAUCAAUAUCAAUAUAUUUUUGAGAAAAUAAAAAUUGUAAAAUCAAAGUCUGUCAAACUUGAUUAUAAAAACUAUUCUCAUUUUGUGUAAAUACCUUUUUAUUUUAAAUGUCAGCAAUAGAUGUAGACCUAUGGUAUAUUUGAACGUAAACAGUAUAUAACAGGACAUUUCUGGAUCUGUAAUGGUUCUGGAAUAUCAGUGUUACCAUUCCUACAAGGUCUCCAAAUUGUAUAUACUGUACAUCCGGGUGUAAUAUCCACAGUCCACAGGCCAAUAAACCUAACAACAACAAACACUUAAAAGAACACCAUUAACCAGCCUCAUUUGCAGGAGCCUUGACUGAGGCUUUCUGUUUUGAUGACAGCGCCUCAGCAGAUCCUUCUAACAAUAAUGGCUCCUGAACACGAUAACCCGCUUGAUUGAUACACGCGAUAUAUUUUAAUAAGAGCCACAGCUCGCGGGGCCUCGUAGAUCAUGUUCAGCAUCACAUCACGUCUCAGCUGAAAAGUCCUCCACAGGCGCGCGAGUCUCCCCGAGUCUCUUUACAGCUCAGAUGCUAAAGUUGUCUUUGUAAACCAAGUCAGGAGAGGGUUGUUAACUGACUGUCGGUGCACGUGACGACGUGACAGCAGGGAGAGUGAACUGUAACAGGACUGAGGAGCAGCAGCAGCAGCAGUAGCGGCGGCAGCAGCAGCAGCGGCAGCAGCAGCAGCAGCAGCAAAACCACAAACGCCCUGAGACACAUUUCAUGGACAAGAGUCCAGCUGCUGUGACGACCCCACGUCCAUUUUUGUCCCUCCUUACUAUAGAGGAUAUAAAACCAAAUACUUUAUUAAAAAUCUACAUAAUUAAGUGUCACUCAUAUGACGUUAACACAGCUGGGCACGUGUCACAUGACUGAUAAUCAAUUAAUUACCUUUUUUUUGGACUGGACAUUGUAAUAAAUAAGCAUAUACUA